Molecule: ribosomal RNA, 405 nt
Filed under: uncultured bacterium
Lineage: Bacteria
Description: bacterial SSU rRNA
Rfam family: Bacterial small subunit ribosomal RNA
Source: RNAcentral
AAUGGGGGCAACCCUGAUCCAGCAACGCCGCGUGAGGGAUGAAGGUCUUCGGAUUGUAAACCUCUUUUGUGAGGGAAGAACUGUCACGUGAAGAACGUGAUUUGACGGUACUUCAUGAAUAAGCCACGGCUAACUUCGUGCCAGCAGCCGCGGUAAUACGAAGGUGGCAAGCGUUACUCGGAAUUACUAGGCGUAAAGCGCAGGUAGGUGGUUGGAUAAGUCUGUUAUGAAAUCUCCCGGCUUAACUGGGAGCGGUUAAUGGAUACUGUCCGGCUCGAGUGUGGGAGAGGUAACUGGAAUUCCAGGUGUAGCGGUGAAAUGCGUAGAUAUCUGGAGGAACACCAAUGGCGAAAGCAGGUUACUGGCCCAAUACUGACACUGAGCUGCGAAAGCUAGGGGAGCAAA